RNAcentral lists this ribosomal RNA (472 nucleotides) under uncultured bacterium. RNAcentral describes it as "bacterial SSU rRNA". It matches the Rfam family "Bacterial small subunit ribosomal RNA", at positions 17 to 538 of the family's 1533-position model. The record is from RNAcentral.
UACUGGCUCAGAACGAACGCUGGAGGCCGCCUAACACAUGCAAGUCGAGCGCACCUUCGGGUGAGCGGCGGACGGGUUAGUAACGCGUGGGAACAUACCCUUCUCUACGGAAUAGCCUCGGGAAACUGAGAGUAAUACCGUAUACGCCCUUCGGGGGAAAGAUUUAUCGGUGAAGGAUUGGCCCGCGUUAGAUUAGAUAGUUGGUGGGGUAACGGCCUACCAAGUCUACGAUCUAUAGCUGGUUUGAGAGGAUGAUCAGCAACACUGGGACUGAGACACGGCCCAGACUCCUACGGGAGGCAGCAGUGGGGAAUCUUAGACAAUGGGCGCAAGCCUGAUCUAGCGAUGCCGCGUGAGUGACGAAGGCCCUAGGGUCGUAAAGCUCUUUCGCCAGGGAUGAUAAUGACAGUACCUGGUAAAGAAACCCCGGCUAACUCCGUGCCAGCAGCCGCGGUAAUACGGAGGGGGUUAG